This is a long non-coding RNA of Hemiscyllium ocellatum (epaulette shark), 618 nucleotides long. RefSeq lists it as uncharacterized. The record is from RefSeq and is a predicted model, not a curated record. Lineage: Eukaryota; Metazoa; Chordata; Chondrichthyes; Orectolobiformes; Hemiscylliidae. The transcript has 3 exons.
GCAGUCUCUCAACUGUUCGAGACUGGGACACAGGAACAGGAGGGAGACAUUCAACUGCUCGAGACUGGGACACAGGAACAGGAGGCAGUCACUCAACUGCCUGAGACUGGGACACAGGAACAGGAGGGUGUCACUCAACCGCUUGAGACUGGGACACAGGAACAGGAGGGAGUCACUCGACUGUUCGAGACUGGGACACAGGAACAGGAGGGAGACAUUCAACUGCUCGAGACUGGGACACAGGAACACGAGGCAGUUAUUCAACUGUUAGAGACUGGGACACAGGAACAGAAGGCCAUCACUCAACUACUCGAGACUGGGACACAGGAACAGAAAGCAGUCAUUCAACUGCUCGAGACUGGGACACAGGGUCCAAUCACAAGAAUGAAAACAAAUAAUAAAGAUACAUCCAAGACCACUGAAAGAAGCGAGAGAUAAACCUUAAGCGCCAAGAUCCCGGAAGACUGUGCGGUAGCAAACGUUGUGCCUUAUUCAAGAAUGGCUGCAAAGAAAAGCCCAGGAAAUAUAGACCAUUACACAGUUCUCCAUUCAGUUGGACAGACGGCUGGUUUGUGAUACAGAGGGAGGCCAACAGUGCAGGCUCGGUUCCCCACACCU